CGCGUAUAGAACCUACCUUUUACAGAGGAAUAGCCUUUAGAAAUGAAGAUUAAUGCCUCAUAGUAUUGUAGACUGGCAUCAGUUUAUAAUUAAAGAUUUAUCGGUAAAAGAUGGCUAUGCGUCCUAUUAGUUAGUUGGUAAGGUAACGGCUUACCAAGACAGCGAUAGGUAGGGGUCCUGAGAGGGAGAUCCCCCACACUGGUACUGAGACACGGACCAGACUCCUACGGGAGGCAGCAGUGAGGAAUAUUGGACAAUGGAGGAGACUCUGAUCCAGCCAUGCCGCGUGUAGGAAGAAUGCCCUAUGGGUUGUAAACUACUUUUAUACAGGAAGAAACACUGGUAUGUAUACCUGCUUGACGGUAC
Molecule: ribosomal RNA, 366 nt
Filed under: uncultured Polaribacter sp.
Lineage: Bacteria; Pseudomonadati; Bacteroidota; Flavobacteriia; Flavobacteriales; Flavobacteriaceae
Description: bacterial SSU rRNA
Rfam family: Bacterial small subunit ribosomal RNA
Source: RNAcentral